Molecule: ribosomal RNA, 558 nt
Filed under: uncultured bacterium
Lineage: Bacteria
Description: bacterial SSU rRNA
Rfam family: Bacterial small subunit ribosomal RNA
Source: RNAcentral
ACGGGUGAGUAACACGUGGGUGACCUGCCUCGCACUCUGGGAUAAGCCCGGGAAACUGGGUCUAAUACCGGAUAUGACUCCACGUCGCAUGGCGUGGGGUGGAAAGCUUUUGUGGUGCGAGAUGGGCCCGCGGCCUAUCAGCUUGUUGGUGGGGUAACGGCCUACCAAGGCGACGACGGGUAGCCGGCCUGAGAGGGCGAUCGGCCACACUGGGACUGAGACACGGCCCAGACUCCUACGGGAGGCAGCAGUGGGGAAUAUUGCACAAUGGGCGGAAGCCUGAUGCAGCGACGCCGCGUGAGGGAUGACGGCCUUCGGGUUGUAAACCUCUUUCAGUACCGACGAAGCGCGAGUGACGGUAGGUACAGAAGAAGCACCGGCCAACUACGUGCCAGCAGCCGCGGUAAUACGUAGGGUGCAAGCGUUGUCCGGAAUUACUGGGCGUAAAGAGCUCGUAGGCGGUUUGUCACGUCGACUGUGAAAUCCCAUGGCUCAACUGUGGGCGUGCAGUCGAUACGGGCAGACUUGAGUACUGCAGGGGAGACUGGAAUUCCUGGU